RNAcentral lists this long non-coding RNA (1081 nucleotides) under Cucumis sativus (cucumber). RNAcentral's name for it is "long non-coding RNA (CSAT_LNC000647)". Lineage: Eukaryota; Viridiplantae; Streptophyta; Magnoliopsida; Cucurbitales; Cucurbitaceae. The record is from RNAcentral.
CUCCAUUUCCACCUAAAGAGUUCCCACCAACGCCGGUGUAUGAAAAGCCACUUCCACCACCUGUUCCAGUUUAUGAAAAACCUGUUCCACCACCUACACCGGUAUAUGAAAAGCCACUUCCACCACCUGUUCCUGUUUAUGAAAAACCUCUUCCCCCACCUACACCGGUCUAUGAAAAACCACUUCCACCGCCUACUCCAGUUUAUGAAAAACCUCAUCCUCCGCCUACACCUGUCUAUGAAAAGCCACUUCCACCGCCUGUUCCUGUUUAUGAAAAACCUCUUCCCCCACCUACACCGGUCUAUGAAAAACCACUUCCACCGCCUACUCCAGUUUAUGAAAAACCUCAUCCUCCGCCUACACCUGUCUAUGAAAAGCCACUUCCACCGCCUGUUCCUGUGUAUGUAAAGCCUAUUCCUCCACCUACUCCGAUCUAUGAAAAGCCACUUCCACCUCCUGUUCCGGUUUAUAAAAAACCUGUUCCUCCACCUACACCAGUCUAUGAAAAGCCACAUCCACCGCCUGUUUAUGAAAAGCCACUUCCACCUCCUGUGUAUGUAAAACCUAAGCCUCCACCAGUGCCAAUCUACAAAAAGCCACUUCCACCACCGGUUCCUGUUUACAAAAAACCUUGUCCUCCCCCUGUUCCUAUUUACAAGAAACCUAAUCCUCCACCAGUAUAUGAGAAGCCACUUCCACCACCAGUUCCUGUUUAUAAGAAACCUAAUCCUCCACCAGUGCCAGUCUACAAGAAGCCUCUUCCACCUCCUGUUCCCAUAUAUAAGAAACCCCUCCCUCCACCUGUUCCCAUUUACAAGCAUCCAUUUUUCAAGCACAAACACCCAUUCUUCAAGCAUAAACACCCAUUCUUCAAGCAUUUGCCUCACAUUCCAAAAAUUCCCCAUCAUCCAUUUUUUAAGAAGCCAUGGCCACCUAUCCCUCAAUUCCCUCCUGUUCCCAAGUCCCCACCAAAGUACUUCUCCCACCACAUGUUUGGAGGGUUCCCUAAACAUCCACCGGUUGUUUCUCAUCCUUAGAAUGUCAUUGUCUUGCAGCAUUGUUGCUUUUUUCUUAAUAAGCA